RNAcentral lists this transfer-messenger RNA (384 nucleotides) under Erysipelotrichaceae. Its description in RNAcentral is "Dubosiella sp000403415 Standard tmRNA". It matches the Rfam family "transfer-messenger RNA". From Rfam's summary of the family: Bacterial tmRNA, also known as 10Sa RNA or SsrA, is named for its dual tRNA and mRNA-like properties. Lineage: Bacteria; Bacillati; Bacillota; Erysipelotrichia; Erysipelotrichales. The record is from RNAcentral. RNAcentral also lists the same sequence under 1 other name.
GGGGGUGUUUUUGGCAUUCGAUAAGUGAGUGUUUGGAUUCAACCACAGCCGUGAAGGUACACGUAAAAACCAAUUAAAUUUAAAAGCUAAAACUAAACUUGCUAAUGUAUUUGGUGCAAACCAAAGCAUGGCAUUUGCUGCCUAAUUUAGACUAAGUUUGUCUUGCAGCCCGGAUCUGUGAGUUCGCUUUCUUACAGCAGAUCGCGCGUUAAACAAAGAAGAUCGAAAUAAGAGUUGAUCGGUUCCUUAUUUUCAGAUUUGUCGAUCACACCGCAUAUUCAUUUUGUCCAUCAUGAAUAUGCGUUCAUUUAGAUGGAAUAAGCUGUAAACGUUGCUUCGUGGGACCUCGCUUAGACAGGAGUUCGAUUCUCCUCACCUCCACCA